RNAcentral lists this ribosomal RNA (494 nucleotides) under uncultured bacterium. RNAcentral describes it as "partial 16S ribosomal RNA". It matches the Rfam family "Bacterial small subunit ribosomal RNA", at positions 28 to 507 of the family's 1533-position model. The record is from RNAcentral.
GACGAACGCUGGCGGCGUGCUUAACACAUACAAGUCGAACGGUGAAGCGCCUUCCUUUUUGGUGGGUGUGGAUGAGUGGCGAACGGGUGAGUAACACGUGAGUAACCUGCCCCCUUCUUCUGGAUAACCGCAUGAAAGUGUGGCUAAUACGGGAUAUUCUGGGUCUGUCGCAUGAUGGGUCUGGGAAAGAUAUUGUUUCGGUGGGGGAUGGGCUCGCGGCCUAUCAGCUUGUUGGUGGGGUGAUGGCCUACCAAGGCGGUGACGGGUAGCCGGCCUGAGAGGGUGGACGGUCACACUGGUACUGAGACACGGCCCAGACUCCUACGGGAGGCAGCAGUGGGGAAUAUUGCACAAUGGGCGCAAGCCUGAUGCAGCGACGCCGCGUGAGGGAUGGAGGCCUUCGGGUUGUGAACCUCUUUCGCCAGUGAAGCAGGCCUGCCUCGUUUGUGGGUGGGUUGACGGUAGCUGGAUAAGAAGCGCCGGCUAACUACGUG